CCUACGGGAGGCAGCAGUCGAGAAUCAUUCACAAUGGGGGAAACCCUGAUGGUGCGACGCCGCGUGGGGGAAUGAAGGUCUUCGGAUUGUAAACCCCUGUCAUGUGGGAGCAAAUUAAAAAGAUAGUACCACAAGAGGAAGAGACGGCUAACUCUGUGCCAGCAGCCGCGGUAAUACAGAGGUCUCAAGCGUUGUUCGGAAUCACUGGGCGUAAAGCGUGCGUAGGCUGUUUCGUAAGUCGUGUGUGAAAGGCGCGGGCUCAACCCGCGGACGGCACAUGAUACUGCGAGACUAGAGUAAGGGAGGGGGAACCGGAAGUCUCGGGGUAGCAGUGAAAUGCGUAGAUAUCGAGAGGAACACUCGUGGCGAAGGCGGGUUCCUGGACAUUAACUGACGCUGAGGCACGAAGGCCAGGGGAGCGAAAGGGAUUAGAUACCCGAGUAGUC
This 446-nucleotide ribosomal RNA is filed under the name uncultured bacterium. Its description in RNAcentral is "partial 16S ribosomal RNA". It matches the Rfam family "Bacterial small subunit ribosomal RNA", at positions 338 to 795 of the family's 1533-position model. The record is from RNAcentral.